Punica granatum (pomegranate) is the source of this 1308-nucleotide non-coding RNA. The record is from RefSeq and is a predicted model, not a curated record. Lineage: Eukaryota; Viridiplantae; Streptophyta; Magnoliopsida; Myrtales; Lythraceae.
GACAUCUCCGUGCCCUAAUCUACUGGCCUUCUUCAAUCUUCCAAAUUGUUUCAAUUUCUGCCCCAUUUCGAGACGAUUUUUCUUGUUCUGCCCGUACCGGUGUCUCUUGUUCGGUCUCCAACGAGCUUGAAGGCUGAAGCUCCGCCAGUCCGCAGAUCCGACUUCCAAUUUUCGAGUUCUGAUUUAGACUUUGGAUUUCGAGCUCGAUCUUGAUUCCCUUUGCUCGCUGGGUUUGAUUCCUACUUCAGCAGUAGUAUUUCUGAUGAAGUCGGGUAUACCUGCUUAGAUCGGUUUCGGUGGGGGUAUUUGUUUUGCCUGGAAGCUUAAUCCGUGGGAGUUCAGGUCCGAUUGUGGUCUGUCUUCGUAGAUUGAGCUGUUUGACAUCUCCUUGGUCAAAUGAUCCGGAGCUAUGUUUUGGGUUUUGAGAUUGAUUUCUGUAACUUCUCGUUGCCAAUCAUUUCAUUUCUGUCCAUUGGGUUGUCUACGUGCUUUUUUGGCUGAUUAAAAGACCUUUUGAUUUAUAUUUAUUUAAAUCUAAAAACAGAAUUUUAAUUGGAUUUACUUCUUAAAGCUUAUGAUGUGCCCGAUUUCCAGUUUCAUUCUUGCUUUUAUGAGAAAAAAACAAAAUGAAACUGGCAAUACAGAUAUAGAUACUGAGGAGAAAGAUGAAGAGAUUUUCUUUUUUGUUUUUUCUCUUCUUUCUUUCCAAGUUAUUUGAUUUGAUGGUUUUGCUUUUAACAUACAUUCGACAUUGGAUGUUAUAAUUUAUGUGGUUAUCUGUUUAUUUUGAGAGUUUGAAUUAUGAUUUAAACUUUAAAUUUCGAUAAUUUGUAACGAUAUUUUGUGAUUUUAAGCCUUUUAUGACUUAUUGUUGGUUUGUUAGUUUUUGGUCCUUUUUUGAAUAUAAAGGAUCAAGGAUUGUUUUUUUUUUGGCUCAGAAAAGUAUAAUACAUAUAUAUAUAUAUAUAUGUUAUUUUUUUAAUUACAGGUAGAAUCUUACGAUUCACGUUACGAUUCUACGAUUCACGAUUCUACGACCCUCGACCGAUUCUAGCGGAGCUCCGGCUCCUCAUGUUUGUCUAACUUAUUGAUCAAUCCGUUUGCCGACCCGGAGAAGGAGAGAAAGAGAGAGUGGCUGAGUAAGGGGGGUGGUGAUGGCUCUAUCGAUGCCGGAAAUUGCACCUCAAUCAAAGUUGUUGAAGAUCUUACUUGUAACGAUGGUGGUCGACGUGAGCCAUCAGCGCUCCAAAUUUUCCCCGCUCUCCUCUCUUAAGAGACCAGUAAUACAACAUAUAGUAACCUUAUCAA